UUCGAGCGUCAUUACAACCCUCAAGCUUAGCUUGGUAUUGGGUGCCGUCCCCCGGGGCGCACCUGGAAAUUAGCGGCGGUGCGGCCGGUGAUCAAGCGUAGUAGAUACUCCCGCUUCGAGACACCCGGGCGUGCCGCCGGAUAACACCCAACUUUUCAAUGGUUGACCUCGGAUCAGGUAGGGAUACCCGCUGAACUUAA
This 200-nucleotide unclassified non-coding RNA is filed under the name soil metagenome. RNAcentral describes it as "partial contains internal transcribed spacer 2 and large subunit ribosomal RNA". The record is from RNAcentral.